This is a long non-coding RNA of Neofelis nebulosa (Clouded leopard), 2467 nucleotides long. RefSeq lists it as uncharacterized. Lineage: Eukaryota; Metazoa; Chordata; Mammalia; Carnivora; Felidae. The transcript is spliced from 6 exons. The record is from RefSeq and is a predicted model, not a curated record.
GCGUGGACCCUGAGUGCCGUCGGAAAGGCGUUAGCGCCCACGGGGUCACAACCCAGCUUGCUGGAAGGAAACUUGGGGACAUCUGUAAGGAGAGGAAUAGGAAGGACCCGAGGAGAAGCAGUAAAGGAGGGCGUUGCGGAUCCUUUGGAGCCACGGACUGGAACUGCCAUGCAAGACCUCUACCAACUGAGGGUUUCAUGAGCGCACUCCCUUGCCAAGAUCUUGGUGAAUAGUCUUUCACUGUGCAAUUGUGUCUUAGACAUUGUUUUACUUGUUAUCAUGAUUGUGCUUGGCUGGAUGCUUUUUGUUGGACUUGCGUGUUACAUGGGCACAUUUCCAGAGUUCACGCCUCCAACUCUGAAGUGGAAAGAGAAGUGGCCUGUUCAGGAGAGCAAGACACGGCUGAGGAGCCUGGCUUUGGAUGAAGAACCACAACUAUGAGAACCAUGUGGAAAGGAUAUAAGUAUCCCCCAGGAGGGACCCCGGUGGAAAUAAGCAAAGAUGAUCCUGGUGAAGUCAUGCAGCUCUGAAGCUCACCUGGCCUGCUGUAGAGUUCCUGUUGUUGGUUUCGCAUAAAUUUCUUCAAAGGUUUGUGAGCUUUUUGUAAGAGCCGUCAGGAAUUGCAGAACAAAACGGAAGACAGGAUUUGGAAACAAGGCCAAGAUUAAUUUAAAAGACUUUCUCAGGACUUUCUUUUUAAAUGAGCUACAGAAGUGCCCUUUUAUAAUGUUGAUGCCGAGGAAUAAUAUAAUCAACAUCUGUAGAAGAAAUGCACUCAAAAGUGGUAGAUGCCUAAGGACACGACCGGACUCUUCCUGUGAAGUUCUAGAACUUUUAUCUAGCACAGUGGUGCCUUUCUGUACAAAUAACUGCACGUCGAAUAAAGUGCUAGUAAACGUUAAGCCACCAGAAAUCUUUCAGCUAUGAUAAGCACUUGAUUGUAAUAGAUUUUCAGAGUCUAAAUACUGAAAAAAUAUAUCCCAGAAAACAACUUUUGUAGGGGUGGGGCGGGAGGAAGCACAAAAGUGACAGCAAAGGAAAUAAUGUUCCAAACCUGUUUUAUUACGUGGAACACCACACUACCCUUAAAUCAAUUUCACUGAAGAUAUUUUGAGAUGGGUGAGAGGCAGUCAACAGGAUUUUCUGCCAGUGUGACAAUUCUAUGUAGAUCAUUAGAGUGUUACUCCUGGUGAUGAAGACCUCUUUCAGAGGAUUCAGCUUCAAAGUUAAAUGCUUGCACUUUCGAAAUGUGAAACUCAAUUCAAAAUGAGUCAGUCUUAAGGGACUAGGUCAAAUGGUUGUCCCAUUAAGGGAGGUAACAACAGUAAUGUAUACCACCCAAACUUGGAGAAUAAAGAAAGCUUUAUGGAUAAAAAGGAAUACACCAAAACAACUUUUGGAACUGCUCUUCAAGCUUAUGUCCCACUGUCCCCAGCCCUCCAUAUUUAGAAUUAAGGACAAAAGCUCUCUAGCGUCAUCAUAUCUCAUUUUCUGUUGCUGACUUUUCCUUGAGACUUGGCUUCUCUCCAGCCAGAACCCAGGUCAGCCUGAUUGGAAUUGCCUGGGUUUGAGGCUUACGAGAUCUCAAGUGUAAAAAUAGGACUUGGAAAAAAGUGAGAAUGAAGAAAGUUCCACAGCCUGGUAAAGCACCAGUAGCAGGCAACGUCCUUUUCUACCUGGGAAAAAAAUCUCUUCACAGUGCAUAGUUUGAAAUAAAAGUGCAAUAUGGGCAAAAAGAGAAGGUGGUGCUCUCAAUAUACGUGAAUUUAGUUUUUGGCUUUUGGCAUUAAUUGCUAAAGAAUUUAAGAUAAAAUGCAGUCGUUAACAUCAAGAGGUACAGGGGCACCUUUUUCCAAAAUAUCUUUCUAGAGAGGGAGGAGGGGAGUCUCACAUGUCACUUCCUUAUUUUUUAAACUAUUACUCUUCCAAAUCUAAUGUUUGAAUAAAAUAAGCAUUUUUCUUCAGUAUAAAAAUGACUUUUCUUAGAUAAAAAUCAAUUAGCACAGUGACCUUGUCUAUUUUACGCUAAAGCCAACGUAACAGUAAAUUUGAAAGGAAAACCUGGAAACAGAUUAUUUUUAAACUAAAUGGCAUAACUUGCAUUUUAACUGGAAAAAAAAAUUUGUUAAUUGCCUUACCACCUAAAUUAGUGAAUAAGAAUGCUCGGCAUCCAAUCCAUGAAUAAUGUAAAAUACGAUAUAAUUUAUUCUACUUUUUACUUCAAAGUCACAGAGAUGACAUCCAUACGAUAAUUAUAGAGCCUACUCUACAUUUUCAAGUUCUCAAUCCAAACAUAUACAUUAGGACAGGUCACUUUAUUGCUGGCAACAUUCAUGGAAGGGCCAGGUUCCUCAUUAAAAGACAAAGUUUGAUUGGGAGCUGGGCAGUGCUCUACUCACAUCAGCAGAACAUGAAGAGGCAAUCCUUUUUUUUUUUUUUUUUCCUUUUCAAAAUAGCAAAGGAACAA